UACGAAGGGGGCUAGCGUUGUUCGGAAUUAUUGGGCGUAAAGGGCGCGUAGGCGGCUUUUCAAGUGACGGGUGAAAUCCCUCGGCUUAACCGAGGAACUGCCUGUCAGACUGGAAGGCUUGAGACCGGGAGAGGUGAGUGGAAUUCCCAGUGUAGCGGUGAAAUGCGUAGAUAUUGGGAGGAACACCAGUGGCGAAGGCGGCUCACUGGACCGGAACUGACGCUGAGGCGCGAAAGCGUGGGGAGCGAACAGG
RNAcentral lists this ribosomal RNA (253 nucleotides) under uncultured bacterium. Its description in RNAcentral is "partial 16S ribosomal RNA". It matches the Rfam family "Bacterial small subunit ribosomal RNA", at positions 524 to 776 of the family's 1533-position model. The record is from RNAcentral.